CUAGAGGUCCACAGUGCUCAGCAUGCCGACUGGACUCUCAUCGGGAGGAGGAUGAGAAUCCAAACCAAAACAUAACUUUUAGCAAAUGCCAGGUGCUACUCUAAGCCUGAGGAACAAAACUGAGUCCCCACUCUCGGCGAACAUACAAGUCAGUCCAAGGCAGAGAAUAUGAGGAACAUGAAGAAUAUGACAUACACUAUGAACAUGAACUUGCGGAGCAGGACUGGAGCCCCGCUUACAGACGAGGAAGCUGCAUUGCCAAGUCACCCCUCUGGGGACAAGACAUGCAGACCUCCAACCCGAAGCCAGAGCUUGGCACUGUCUGGGUACUUUAGGAGUUUACAGCGUCACAGAGAGGCCAC
RNAcentral lists this long non-coding RNA (362 nucleotides) under Cricetulus griseus (Chinese hamster). Its description in RNAcentral is "lncRNA (ENSCGRG00000025546.1)". The record is from RNAcentral. Lineage: Eukaryota; Metazoa; Chordata; Mammalia; Rodentia; Cricetidae.